RNAcentral lists this ribosomal RNA (445 nucleotides) under uncultured bacterium. Its description in RNAcentral is "partial 16S ribosomal RNA". It matches the Rfam family "Bacterial small subunit ribosomal RNA", at positions 354 to 796 of the family's 1533-position model. The record is from RNAcentral.
GUGAGGAAUAUUGGUCAAUGGGCGAGAGCCUGAACCAGCCAAGUCGCGUGAAGGAAGAAGGAUCUAUGGUUCGUAAACUUCUUUUGCAGGGGAAUAAAGUGCGGGACGUGUCCUGUUUUGUAUGUACCCUGAGAAUAAGGAUCGGCUAACUCCGUGCCAGCAGCCGCGGUAAUACGGAGGAUCCGAGCGUUAUCCGGAUUUAUUGGGUUUAAAGGGUGCGUAGGUGGUUUGAUAAGUCAGCGGUGAAAGUUUGCAGCUUAACUGUAAAAAUGCAGUUGAAACUGUCGGACUUGAGUGUAAAUGAGGUAGGCGGAAUGCGUGGUGUAGCGGUGAAAUGCAUAGAUAUCACGCAGAACUCCGAUUGCGAAGGCAGCUUACUAAGCUACAACUGACACUGAAGCACGAAAGCGUGGGGAUCAAACAGGAUUAGAAACCCUUGUAGUCC